CAGUCGCCGCGGGAAUACGAAGGGGGCUAGCGUUGUUCGGAAUUACUGGGCGUAAAGGGCGCGUAGGCGGCCAUUCAAGUUAGAUGUGAAAGCCCUGGGCUCAACCUAGGAAUUGCAUUUGAUACUGUUUGGCUUGAGUUCGGGAGAGGUGAGUGGAAUUCCCAGUGUAGAGGUGAAAUUCGUAGAUAUUGGGAAGAACACCAGUGGCGAAGGCGGCUCACUGGACAAUUACUGACGCUGAUGCACGAAAGCUAGGGGAGCAAACAGGAUUAGAUACCCGUGUAGUCCCUGUCUCUUAUAC
This 301-nucleotide ribosomal RNA is filed under the name uncultured bacterium. RNAcentral's name for it is "partial 16S ribosomal RNA". It matches the Rfam family "Bacterial small subunit ribosomal RNA", at positions 509 to 807 of the family's 1533-position model. The record is from RNAcentral.